RNAcentral lists this ribosomal RNA (253 nucleotides) under uncultured bacterium. RNAcentral's name for it is "partial 16S ribosomal RNA". It matches the Rfam family "Bacterial small subunit ribosomal RNA", at positions 524 to 776 of the family's 1533-position model. The record is from RNAcentral.
UACGGGGGGGGCAAGCGUUGUUCGGAAUUACUGGGCGUAAAGGGCUCGUAGGCGGCCAACUAAGUCAGACGUGAAAUCCCCAGGCUCAACCUGGGAACUGCGUCUGAUACUGGAUGGCUUGAAUCCGGGAGAGGGAUGCGGAACUCCAGGUGUAGCGGUGAAAUGCGUAGAUAUCUGGAGGAACACCGGUGGCGAAGGCGGCAUCCUGGACCGGCAUUGACGCUGAGGAGCGAAAGCCAGGGGAGCAAACGGG